AGCCUUGUGGACAAAUAGACAAGUUGCUUUGAUUCUCAAUCAAAGAGAAGCGGGUGCAACUCCCGUCAAGGCUGCCA
Molecule: transfer RNA, 77 nt
Filed under: Calothrix sp. PCC 7507
Lineage: Bacteria; Bacillati; Cyanobacteriota; Cyanophyceae; Nostocales; Calotrichaceae
Description: tRNA-Glu (CTC) (tRNA-Glu-CTC-1-1)
Rfam family: tRNA
About the family: Transfer RNA (tRNA) molecules are approximately 80 nucleotides in length.
Source: RNAcentral